Long non-coding RNA from Oncorhynchus nerka (sockeye salmon), 1188 nucleotides. RefSeq lists it as uncharacterized. The transcript is spliced from 4 exons. The record is from RefSeq and is a predicted model, not a curated record. NCBI's taxonomy places the organism in Eukaryota, Metazoa, Chordata, Actinopteri, Salmoniformes, Salmonidae.
GCAAAUAAGCCAUACAUGUUUUUGUUGACCAAACUACUUGCUUGGUGGGCGAAAAAACGCCACCUGCUAGAGGGAGACAGAUUUUCUGCCGAGCUGGGCCUCUCUCUUCCUCUUCCUCUCUGGCCAUUCUAGCAUCGCCCAACGGUCCUCCCGCGCACUUCGCUUCAUUCAUUGAAAAUUAAUGUGCUUCUGUUGUUUCAUCGCCCCCAACUUGCUAUAUGGAUCUAUUGACCACGGUCCACGAUGGACGCACAGCUCAAAUUCCCAACCAACGCGGCUCCGUACCCGUCCUCUAUUCAUUUGAAUGUGUUUACAGUUUACAGAAAUUGUUAGAGCCGAGCUAAGAAUGCGAAAAGUAUGAAAGACACAUAUGGUCCAAUAUUUGUGCGUACACGUUUUGGACGGAUCUUAUAGACCGCUUUACCUUGCAUACCUUUCACCAGGAAACAAUUAGAUAAUUUGUUUUCAUAAAUAAAAAAAAUGCAACAUCAAGUAAUUCCUGGUUUGAUCUAGAAGGAAGUCGCAGCCUUGUGGAGCACCUGUCGCUCGUGCUCCCGCUUCUCAGCUAGCUGCUUCAGCACCAGGGCCUCCUGAGACUGCAGAGAGAGACGAGGGAGAGAGAUGCUUCCAGCCUCUUCUGGAGCUCGUCCGGGGAGAGGUCCUUCUUGGGAGCAGAAAGCAGGGGCUGGGGCCUGUCCGGAGAGAGGUCAGCGGGGGCCUUCAGGAUGAUCUCGAAGGCCUGGCCGGAUGCCCGCUUGUUCAGGGACUUCACCUCCAUGUCUGUGGAGAACAGCAGGACCUGAGCCCUAGGACCAUGCCUCAGGACUACCUGACAUGAUGACUCCUUGCUGUCCCCAGUCCACCUGGCCGUGCUGCUGCUCCAGUUUCAAAUGUUCUGCCUUAUUAUUAUUGGACCAUGCUGGUCAUUUAUGAACAUUUGAACAUCUUGGCCAUGUUCUGUUAUAAUCUCCACCCGGCACAGCCAGAAGAGGACUGGCCACCCACAUAGCCUGGUUCCUCUCUAGGUUUCUUCCUAGGUUUUGGCCUUUCUAUGGAGUUUUUCCUAGCCACCGUGCUUCUACACCUGCAUUGCUUGCUGUUUGGGGUUUUAGGUUGGGUUUCUGUACAGCACUUUGAGAUAUCAGCUGAUGUACGAAGGGCUAUAUAAAUACAUUUGAUUUGAUUUGA